CGCGGGGUGGAGCAGUACGGCAGCUCGUCGGGCUCAUAACCCGAAGGUCAUAGGUUCAAAUCCUAUCCCCGCAACCA
RNAcentral lists this transfer RNA (77 nucleotides) under Synergistaceae bacterium. RNAcentral's name for it is "tRNA-Met". It matches the Rfam family "tRNA". From Rfam's summary of the family: Transfer RNA (tRNA) molecules are approximately 80 nucleotides in length. Their secondary structure includes four short double-helical elements and three loops (D, anti-codon, and T loops). The record is from RNAcentral. RNAcentral also lists the same sequence under 1 other name. Lineage: Bacteria; Thermotogati; Synergistota; Synergistia; Synergistales; Synergistaceae.